CUGUGAGUCCCACAGGAGACAGGCUGUACAUCAGCUACUGGCCGCACAAGCUUCACACCCUGGCCAGGGAUGGCACACUCCUGGCUACAUACACAGACCCAGCACUAUGGUACCCAACUGGUCUACAUGUGACCCCUGCAGGCCAGGUGCUGGUCUGUGGAGGCCUGCCCCACACUGUACAACAGGUGGGCUGGGAGGGAGAGAGUAAGCUGACUACGCUGGCUACACAGGAGGAUGGAGAGUGGUGUCCACAGUCAGUCUGCUACAGCAGCACUACAUCCUCCAUCAUUGUGGGACAGUGGAGGGACAACAUCCUGGUGUUCAGAGUGGAAUAGUGUGUACAUUGGCUGCUGAGUCAGGACAACGAUGCUGAGGAUGUGGUGGACAGAAUAAACUGAAUACUCAGAAGGAGAGCACCAGCACUGGUAUUGAGUUGGCCCAACAACAGUGCCAGUCCAGCAUGCAGGAGAUUCAGUCAAGGACGACCCUUCCCCUACCCUGACCACUAACUCCUCACUUUUUACCUGCAGCCUCAAAGGAUCAGCAUCAUUGAACAAUUCUGUUCUGCAGGAAAUUCUCAGCACGUCAAGUUUUCACAGGCUGUUCUCAACAACCGCAAUGUCCUGGUCGAGUUUUCCACAUUCAAGCCUGAGUAGUUUGUUAAAUAUAAGCAGUAGAAAUGGUAACACUAACAGCCAGUGUUCUUGCUGUUGGACAUCACAAAGAAUAUCACAGAAUACAAAGUUGAAUAACUUGUUCCAUUCAUUAUGGGACCAACAGAAAUUCAGCAAGAAACAGGGCAAAAAAUCAUGGAACAAUUGAAGCGAUUAAUUUAGAACUGUAGGCUUUCCAAAAUAGAUACUUCUGCUGUUGAUAGUUUUGACAGUAAUAGGGUUACGGACGUCUCGGUUUGUCCUCUCAGGCGUGUAAACUGUCCAAAGAGAACACGCUUCUGACGCUUUUGCUGACGAAGAAAGGCAGUAAUGACUUGGCUGUGAACACCCAGAGCACAAUACAUCCUUGGGGCAUGCCACAGACGCAAAUUCCGCUCAAGAUUAUAAACAAGGUGCAAAAUGUGAAUAUGUCUAGCUUUGUUAUGAGCACUUCCCACUCCGAGCCCAUAGGCCUCGUAUUGAAUCGUGGCUGAGAAGGCAUUGACAGCAGUUGUGUUGUGUGGUCCAGUACGCCCUUCGACUCUGAACCCGACGUUUAUCAGAACUCAAACUCGGCCCUAAGCAAUAUCAGCUCAGCUCCUUGAGCCUCAGGACUUGAUGCAAUCCUUGAUUGGUACCCAGCUUAACAACAGGCUCUUUGGUCAGCUGGUCCCAGACGCCCAGAGACACUUCCUGUGCAUCGGGGGUAGUUGGCUCUUGGCGCAGGACCUCGGGGCAAAUGCUCAACAAAUCCUUAGCGCAGGGUGCAGCCAGUCUAAACCUGGGGUUUCAAACUUUCCUGCCUAAGGGCCGAGAUUAUCUCAUCCACAAGAGGCUUAUACUCACAAGUUCAGGCCCAGAGAGAAAUGUCCCCAACUUCAACUUAACCCCUACAUCUCAAUAGGAGAGCACCAGCAUUGACUAUUGUGUUGGCCCAACAACAGCACCAGUCUGGCAUGCAUGAGCCCCAGUCCAGGACAACCCUUCCCCUACCCUGAUCCAUAUCUCCUCCCCCAAGACUUCCAGCCUCAAAUUCUGAGCACAUCCAGUUUUCUUGCACUAUUCUCAUCAACCGCAAUGUCCACGUCAAGUUAUCCACUGUCGAGCCCGAGUAGUUUUGUUUAGCUUGAGUGUCCGAGUGGGAAGAGUGUUACAGACACAAGGAGUUAUAUCAGUAGUUAUGGUAAUGCUCAAUCAACAGUCAGUUCUUGCUGUUGGACAUCACUGUGAAUAUCACGACGAAUGAGAAGUUGAAUGACUUGUUCCAUUCGUUAUGGGACAAACACAAAUUCAGCGAGGAACGGACAAAAAAUCAAGGAACAAUUGAAGCGAUUAAUGCAGAAGUGUAGGCUGUACAAAGAAGAUACUUGUGCUGUUGAUAGUUAGGACAGUAGUAGCGUUACGGACCAUCUCGGUUUGUCCUCUCAGGCGUCUAAACUGUCCAAAGGGAAUAUAAAGCUUUUGAGGCUGUUGCUGAUGAAGAAAGGCAGUAAUGACUUGGCUGUCAACACCCAGAGCACAAUACAUCAAAGGGGCAUGCCUCAGACGCAAAUUGCGCCCAAGAUUGUAAACAAGGUGCAAAAUGUGAACAUGUCUGGCUUUGUUACGAGCACUUGGCACUUGUAUUGAAUCGAGAAUAGAGAUGGCUUUGAAAAAUGACAGCAGUUUUGUAAUGUCGUCCAGUACGCACUUCGACUCUCAACCGAGUUAGUCAGAACUCAAACUCGGGCCUUAGUAAUAUCAGCAAAUUGUAGAGACGCUCAAACUGAUUUGUUCCAACAGAUAGAACAGGCGUUGAUUGACUCGUCCGUAAAUGUGACUGGCCUUAAUAUGUUGCUCUCGAUUAAUGUGAACCUCACCAGGAGAGCUGUCUGCGAUUGACGCCAUUCAACAACAGUUGUUGUCGGGAAUUCCCGGGUUUGGGUUGGUGACUUAGGUGUCGGGACUCGCUUCAUCUCUGCAUAUGGCAGGUUCGCAGCAGCAGCAGCAGCAACAAGAACAGCAGUCGCUUCUGAGUCCGGACAAAGAUGCUGAGGAUGUGGUGGACAAGAAUGACCUGAAUGCGUAGAAGCAACUGCUCAGCACAGAAGACGACUGUCUGGUGAAAGGCUCAGCCAUAUCAAAGUUCAGUGAUGUUGGGGGACGUUGCUGUUCCAUGUCUGGGGAUCGCAUCAUGAAGGACAUUUUAGCUGACACUUACAAGGGAGAGAACUCUAGGUCUGCA
Molecule: long non-coding RNA, 2877 nt
Organism: Dreissena polymorpha
Lineage: Eukaryota; Metazoa; Mollusca; Bivalvia; Myida; Dreissenidae
Exons: 9
Source: RefSeq, a predicted model, not a curated record